GACGAACGCUGGCGGCGUGCCUAAUACAUGCAAGUAGAACGCACAGUUUAUACCGUAGCUUGCUACACCAUAGACUGUGAGUUGCGAACGGGUGAGUAGCGCGUAGGUAACCUGCCUGGCAGCGGGGGAUAACUAUUGGAAACGAUAGCUAAUACCGCAUAAUAUUAAUUAUUGCAUGAUAAUUAAUUGAAAGGUGCAAUUGCACCACUACCAGAUGGACCUGCGUUGUAUUAGCUAGUAGGUGAGGUAACGGCUCACCUAGGCGACGAUACAUAGCCGACCUGAGAGGGUGAUCGGCCACACUGGGACUGAGACACGGCCCAGACUCCUACGGGAGGCAGCAGUAGGGAAUCUUCGGCAAUGGACGAAAGUCUGACCGAGCAACGCCGCGUGAGUGGAGAAGGUUUUCGGAUCGUAAAGCUCUGUUGUAAGAGAAGAACGGGUGUGAGAGUGGAAAGUUCACACUGUGACGGUAUCUUACCAGAAAGGGACGGCUAACUACGUG
This 505-nucleotide ribosomal RNA is filed under the name uncultured bacterium. RNAcentral describes it as "partial 16S ribosomal RNA". It matches the Rfam family "Bacterial small subunit ribosomal RNA", at positions 28 to 507 of the family's 1533-position model. The record is from RNAcentral.